AUGGAGCUCCUCCCGCCGCUGCCUCAGUCCUUCCUGUUGCUGCUGCUGUUGCCUGCCAAGCCCGCGGCGGGCGAGGACUGGCAGUGCCCGCGCACCCCCUACGCGGCCUCUCGCGACUUUGACGUGAAGUACGUGGUGCCCAGCUUCUCCGCCGGAGGCCUGGUACAGGCCAUGGUGACCUACGAGGGCGACAGAAAUGAGAGUGCUGUGUUUGUAGCCAUACGCAAUCGCCUGCAUGUGCUUGGGCCUGACCUGAAGUCUGUCCAGAGCCUGGCCACGGGCCCUGCUGGAGACCCUGGCUGCCAGACGUGUGCAGCCUGUGGCCCAGGACCCCACGGCCCUCCCGGUGACACAGACACAAAGGUGCUGGUGCUGGAUCCCGCGCUGCCUGCGCUGGUCAGUUGUGGCUCCAGCCUGCAGGGCCGCUGCUUCCUGCAUGACCUAGAGCCCCAAGGGACAGCCGUGCAUCUGGCAGCGCCAGCCUGCCUCUUCUCAGCCCACCAUAACCGGCCCGAUGACUGCCCCGACUGUGUGGCCAGCCCAUUGGGCACCCGUGUAACUGUGGUUGAGCAAGGCCAGGCCUCCUAUUUCUACGUGGCAUCCUCACUGGACGCAGCCGUGGCUGCCAGCUUCAGCCCACGCUCAGUGUCUAUCAGGCGUCUCAAGGCCGACGCCUCCGGAUUCGCACCGGGCUUUGUGGCGUUGUCAGUGCUGCCCAAGCAUCUUGUCUCCUACAGUAUUGAAUAUGUGCACAGCUUCCACACGGGAGCCUUCGUAUACUUCCUGACUGUACAGCCGGCCAGCGUGACAGAUGAUCCUAGUGCCCUGCACACACGCCUGGCACGGCUUAGCGCCACUGAGCCAGAGUUGGGUGACUAUCGGGAGCUGGUCCUCGACUGCAGAUUUGCUCCAAAACGCAGGCGCCGGGGGGCCCCAGAAGGCGGACAGCCCUACCCUGUGCUGCGGGUGGCCCACUCCGCUCCAGUGGGUGCCCAACUUGCCACUGAGCUGAGCAUCGCCGAGGGCCAGGAAGUACUAUUUGGGGUCUUUGUGACUGGCAAGGAUGGUGGUCCUGGCGUGGGCCCCAACUCUGUCGUCUGUGCCUUCCCCAUUGACCUGCUGGACACACUAAUUGAUGAGGGUGUGGAGCGCUGUUGUGAAUCCCCAGUCCAUCCAGGCCUCCGGCGAGGCCUCGACUUCUUCCAGUCGCCCAGUUUUUGCCCCAACCCGCCUGGCCUGGAAGCCCUCAGCCCCAACACCAGCUGCCGCCACUUCCCUCUGCUGGUCAGUAGCAGCUUCUCACGUGUGGACCUAUUCAAUGGGCUGUUGGGACCAGUACAGGUCACUGCAUUGUAUGUGACACGCCUUGACAACGUCACAGUGGCGCACAUGGGCACAAUGGAUGGGCGUAUCCUGCAGGUGGGUCCUCAUCCCCACAGUCCCCUAGCCCUGGGUCCUUGUCUCCAUCCCCAUUUUGCUCACAUCUGA
RNAcentral lists this small RNA (1488 nucleotides) under Pan troglodytes (chimpanzee). Its description in RNAcentral is "retained intron". Lineage: Eukaryota; Metazoa; Chordata; Mammalia; Primates; Hominidae. The record is from RNAcentral.